This 478-nucleotide ribosomal RNA is filed under the name uncultured bacterium. RNAcentral describes it as "bacterial SSU rRNA". It matches the Rfam family "Bacterial small subunit ribosomal RNA", at positions 33 to 507 of the family's 1533-position model. The record is from RNAcentral.
GAGACACGCUGGCGGCGUGCCUAACACAUGCAAGUCGAACGGAGAGGACAUGAAGUAUUUCGGUACGGAAUGCUCUCUUAGUGGCGAACGGGUGAGUAACACGUGGGCAACCUGCCCCAGACUGGGGGAUAACAUUGUGAAAACAGUGCUAAUACCGCAUGACAGGGUUCCGGGCAUCCGGGACCCUUGAAAGGAGAAAUCCGGUCAGGGAUGGGCCCGCGUCCAAUUAGCUAGUUGGCGGGGUAACGGCCCACCAAGGCGACGAUUGGUAGCCGAACUGAGAGGUUGAUCGGCCACAUUGGGACUGAGACACGGCCCAGACUCCUACGGGAGGCAGCAGUGGGGAAUAUUGGGCAAUGGGCGAAAGCCUGACCCAGCGACGCCGCGUGAAGGAUGAAGGUCUUCGGAUUGUAAACUUCUUUGAUCAGGGAAGAAAGAAAUGACGGUACCUGAAAAACAAGCCACGGCUAACUACGUG